UCCGGCUUGCCACCGGCAGUUCCUUUAGAGUGCCCACCCAAACGUGAUGGCAACUAAAGGCGAGGGUUGCGCUCGUUGCGGGACUUAACCCAACAUCUCACGACACGAGCUGACGACAGCCAUGCAGCACCUGUGUUCUAGCCAGCCGAACUGAAGAAAGGCAUCUCUGCCGAUCACACUAGACAUGUCAAACGUGGGUAAGGUUCUGCGCGUCGCUUCGAAUUAAACCACAUGCUCCACCGCUUGUGCGGGCCCCCGUCAAUUUCUUUGAGUUUUAACCUUGCGGCCGUACUCCCCAGGCGGAGAGCUUAAUGCGUUAGCUGCGUCACCAAUAAGCAUGCUUACUGACAACUAGCUCUCAUCGUUUACAGCGUGGACUAC
RNAcentral lists this unclassified non-coding RNA (381 nucleotides) under uncultured Hyphomonadaceae bacterium. Its description in RNAcentral is "contains 16S-23S intergenic spacer region". Lineage: Bacteria; Pseudomonadati; Pseudomonadota; Alphaproteobacteria; Hyphomonadales; Hyphomonadaceae. The record is from RNAcentral.